This 30-nucleotide non-coding RNA is filed under the name Rattus norvegicus (Norway rat). Lineage: Eukaryota; Metazoa; Chordata; Mammalia; Rodentia; Muridae. The record is from RNAcentral.
UGGGGGACUUUGACAAAGGUUUUGCAGAGC